CCUACGGGAGACAGCAGUGGGGAAUAUUGCACAAUGGGGGAAACCCUGAUGCAGCGACGCCGCGUGAGUGAAGAAGUAAUUCGUUAUGUAAAGCUCUAUCAGCAGGGAAGAAAAUGACGGUACCUGAGUAAGAAGCCCCGGCCAACUACGUGCCAGCAGCCGCGGUAAUACGUAGGGGGCAAGCGUUAUCCGGAUUUACUGGGUGUAAAGGGAGCGUAGACGGCAGUGCAAGGCUGGAGUGAAAGGCGGGGGCCCAACCCCCGGACUGCUGUGGAAACUGGACGGCUGGAGUGCAGGAGAGGUAAGUGGAAUUCGUGGUGUAGCGGUGAAAUGCGUAGAUAUUAGGAGGAACACCAGUGGCGAAGGCGGCUUACUGGACUGUAACUGACGUUGAGGCUCGAAGGCGUGGGGAGCAAACAGGAUUAGAUACCCUAGUAGUC
Molecule: ribosomal RNA, 440 nt
Filed under: uncultured bacterium
Lineage: Bacteria
Description: partial 16S ribosomal RNA
Rfam family: Bacterial small subunit ribosomal RNA
Source: RNAcentral